AACGAGGCCGACCUGCGGCUGAGUUACCUGCGGAAGGAUCAUUACAGAGUUGCAAAACUCCCUAAACCAUUGUGAACGUUACCUAAACCGUUGCUUCGGCGGGCGGCCCGGGUCCUUCCCGGCGCCCAUCGGCCCUCGCGGGCGCCCGCCGGAGGUAAACCAAACUAUUGCAUUGUAUGGCCUCUCUGAGUCUUCUGUACUGAAUAAGUCAAAACUUUUAACAACGGAUCUCAGAUCGGA
RNAcentral lists this unclassified non-coding RNA (240 nucleotides) under soil metagenome. RNAcentral's name for it is "partial contains 5.8S ribosomal RNA, internal transcribed spacer 2, and large subunit ribosomal RNA". The record is from RNAcentral.